RNAcentral lists this ribosomal RNA (709 nucleotides) under uncultured Actinomycetales bacterium. Its description in RNAcentral is "bacterial SSU rRNA". It matches the Rfam family "Bacterial small subunit ribosomal RNA", at positions 60 to 782 of the family's 1533-position model. The record is from RNAcentral. Lineage: Bacteria; Bacillati; Actinomycetota; Actinomycetes; Actinomycetales.
AGUCGAACGGAAAGGCCCUGCUUGCAGGGUACUCGAGUGGCGAACGGGUGAGUAACACGUGGGUGAUCUGCCCUGCACUUCGGGAUAAGCUUGGGAAACUGGGUCUAAUACCGGAUAGGAACCAUCUUUAGUGUGGUGGUUGGAAAGUUUUUUCGGUGUAGGAUGAGCUCGCGGCCUAUCAGCUUGUUGGUGGGGUAAUGGCCUACCAAGGCGGCGACGGGUAGCCGGCCUGAGAGGGUGUACGGCCACAUUGGGACUGAGAUACGGCCCAGACUCCUACGGGAGGCAGCAGUGGGGAAUAUUGCACAAUGGGCGCAAGCCUGAUGCAGCGACGCCGCGUGGGGGAUGAAGGCCUUCGGGUUGUAAACUCCUUUCGCUAGGGACGAAGCUUUUUGUGACGGUACCUAGAUAAGAAGCACCGGCUAACUACGUGCCAGCAGCCGCGGUAAUACGUAGGGUGCGAGCGUUGUCCGGAGUUACUGGGCGUAAAGGGCUCGUAGGUGGUUUGUCGCGUCGUCUGUGAAAUUCUGGGGCUUAACUCCGGGCGUGCAGGCGAUACGGGCAUAACUUGAGUGCUGUAGGGGUAACUGGAAUUCCUGGUGUAGCGGUGAAAUGCGCAGAUAUCAGGAGGAACACCGAUGGCGAAGGCAGGUUACUGGGCAGUUACUGACGCUGAGGAGCGAAAGCAUGGGUAGCGAACAGGAUUAGA